AGAGUUUGAUCAUGGCUCAGAUUGAACGCUAGCGGGAUGCCUUACACAUGCAAGUCGAACGGCAGCGCGGACUUCGGUCUGGCGGCGAGUGGCGAACGGGUGAGUAAUGUAUCGGAACGUGCCCAGUAGCGGGGGACAACCACUCGAAAGAGUGGCUAAUACCGCAUACGCCCUACGGGGGAAAGGGGGGGAUCGCAAGACCUCUCACUAUUGGAGCGGCCGAUAUCGGAUUAGCUAGUUGGUGGGGUAAAGGCCUACCAAGGCGACGAUCCGUAGCUGGUUUGAGAGGACGACCAGCCACACUGGGACUGAGACACGGCCCAGACUCCUACGGGAGGCAGCAGUGGGGAAUUUUGGACAAUGGGGGAAACCCUGAUCCAGCCAUUCCGCGUGUGCGAUGAAGGCCUUCGGGUUGUAAAGCACUUUUGGCAGGAAAGAAAUCGUGUGGGUUAAUACCCUGCGCGGAUGACGGUACCUGCAGAAUAAGCACCGGCUAACUACGUG
This 504-nucleotide ribosomal RNA is filed under the name uncultured bacterium. Its description in RNAcentral is "bacterial SSU rRNA". It matches the Rfam family "Bacterial small subunit ribosomal RNA", at positions 8 to 507 of the family's 1533-position model. The record is from RNAcentral.